UAACUAUUAAUUUAAAUAAAAUUUUAAUUUUGUAAAUUAAAAAUAUAAUAUAUAUAUGUUAUAUAGUUAA
This 70-nucleotide transfer RNA is filed under the name Platencyrtus parkeri. RNAcentral describes it as "tRNA-Thr". The record is from RNAcentral. Lineage: Eukaryota; Metazoa; Arthropoda; Insecta; Hymenoptera; Encyrtidae.